GGAGGAAUAUUGCGCAAUGGAGGAAACUCUGACGCAGCGACGCCGCGUGAAGGAUGAAGGCCCUCUGGGUUGUAAACUUCUGUAGAGAGGGAAGAAUUUUCGCCUUCGGCGAAUUGACGGUACCUCUAAAGUAAGGGUCGGCUAACUACGUGCCAGCAGCCGCGGUAAUACGUAGGACCCAAGCGUUGUCCGGAUUUACUGGGUGUAAAGGGAGCGCAGGCGGAUUAUUAAGUCGAUUGUGAAAUCUUGC
RNAcentral lists this ribosomal RNA (250 nucleotides) under uncultured bacterium. RNAcentral describes it as "partial 16S ribosomal RNA". It matches the Rfam family "Bacterial small subunit ribosomal RNA", at positions 355 to 605 of the family's 1533-position model. The record is from RNAcentral.